RNAcentral lists this transfer RNA (70 nucleotides) under Oncotympana maculaticollis. RNAcentral's name for it is "tRNA-Lys". The record is from RNAcentral. RNAcentral also lists the same sequence under 1 other name. Lineage: Eukaryota; Metazoa; Arthropoda; Insecta; Hemiptera; Cicadidae.
UAUUAAGUGGCUGAAACUAAGUGAUGAUCUCUUAAAUCAAUAUAUGGUAAUUAACAAAUACCCUUAAUAA